This 2157-nucleotide long non-coding RNA is filed under the name Ananas comosus (pineapple). Its description in RNAcentral is "long non-coding RNA (ACOM_LNC003416)". The record is from RNAcentral. Lineage: Eukaryota; Viridiplantae; Streptophyta; Magnoliopsida; Poales; Bromeliaceae.
UUUUCUUUUUUUUAGCCAAUUUGCAUAAAAAAUUCACUAGUUUUGUGAUUUUAUAAAAGUGGGUCAUCUUUUUCAAUUUCACAAAUUCUCGCCAGAUUUUCAGCCGGCUGACCAAAAUGCCCCUCAUCUACAUCCGCCUGUUUCGUAUUCUGUAAGAUACGUAUACCCUAUCGUACAGUCCUGACGGACAUUAAAUGUAUCCCUUUCGCUUUACGCAAUUUCGCUCUCAUCGGAACCCGAACCAAAUCGGCCCCGCUAUUCGCCAGCCUCCGAUGUUUGCUGUUCGGCUUUAAGAAAUUAAAUUUGCUGAAGCUACAUGACAAAAAUUACACGGCCGACAACAGGAAUAAUAGUGCAAUGCCAAGAAGCAACGCGAAGAGAAAUUGUACGACAACCCUUCUAACAUUGCAUCUUUCGGCUGGUACCAAUGCAAACUCCACCGCUCACAUGUGCAACGCUGACAUUUAAUCUUCUCCCUCACAUGUGUAAUGCUGACAUUCAAUCUUGUCCCUCACCAGGGGAACCUCCCAUUUCCCUGUAAGGUAGUAGUUCAACAAAAGGCUUGAUCGGAUGGUAUUUCGGGCAACCUGCGGGAAAUACAUCCGAAAACUCUUGGACCAUUGGAAUGUCCUCUAGCGGCGGAGUCUCCCACUACUAGAAAAUUAGUAAUUAGUUGUAUUUAUUUAUGCUGCUAAAUAAUCAACAAAUACUGUUAAAAGUUUUAGCAGCAUAUGUUGCUAAAAGUAUUAGCAGCAUUUAUUAUAAAUGCCGCCAAUGUAAAUCAAUUAGUGUCAUUAGGAACAUGCCGCAAUGUAAAUCAAUUAGUGUCAUUAGGAACAUGCCGCUAAAAGGGAUUAAAUGUUAACUUUAAAUUAUUUAUUAGUUGCACAUAAAUAUAAUGCCGCUAAUAUAAAUAUCUGAUUUUAGAAAUUAAAAUUUUAAAAUUUUAGAAAUUAAAAUUUUAAUUUUAUUUUAAAUUUUUUUGAGAUGCUACCCGCUUCCUUUAUUUCUUUCACAAAUAAACUAAAUAAACUUUGCUGGAAAUAUGAAUCAAUUAGGAUUCGAAUUGAGACCUCGAGAACCAACCACCAAGCCCUUUGCCACUUGCGCUAGCGACUAUUAGUUAUAUAUAUUUAAAUUUUUUAAAUUUUAAGUCUUCUAUUUUAAAAUUUUAAAAUUUUAAAUUUUAAAUUUUUAAAUUUAGAUACUAAAUUUAAAUUUUUAAUUUUCAAAUAUCAAAUAUUAAGUUUCAAAAUUAAUAGUUUUAAAUUUGAAAAUUUAAAAUUUAAAACAAAUUUAAAAUUUAAAAUUUAAAAUUUAAAAUUUAAAAUUUAAAAAUUUUAAAAUUUUAAAUUUAGAAUUUAAAUUUUAAAUUAUAAAUUUUAAAAUUUUAAAUUUUAAAUUAUAAGUUUAAUUUUUAAAAUUAUAUGUUUCAAAUUUUAAACUUUAAUUUUAAAAUUUUUAAUUCUAAAUAAAAUGGGAUAUAUUAAUAAUUAUAUAUUAAUUAGUAAUAAUAUUUAGUAACAAGCGCUGCUAGUUUAUUAUAUUUAGCGGCAUUCACUAAUUUAUGCUGCUAAUUUAUCCUAUUUUGCAACAUUAAUAGUAAAUUACUGCUAAAUAAUUAAAUCUAGCGGCAAUUAUCAAGUAAUGCUGCUAAAUAUAUUAAUUGUCAUGAUUUAAAUAAAUGUUGCGAAACUAAAUAUUGCGGUAUUUAGCAAUAAGUGCUGCUACUUUAUUACAUUUAAUGUCAUUUUUUAUAAAAUGCUGGAAACUUCAGCGGCAUUCACUAAUUUAUGCUGUUAAUUUAUUCUAUUUUGCAACAUUAAUAGUAAAUUGCUGCUAAAUUAUUAAAUCUAGCAACACUUAUCAAGUAAUGCUGUUAAAUAUAUUAAUUAGCGUUAUUUAAAUAAAUGCUACGAGUAAAUGUCGCUAAAUCAUGAAUUUGUUGUAAUGUCCCUACAAGUCUCCACCACGGUUGCCAAAUAAGCCGCGCAACCGCCACUAACCAAUUUUCUUGCCCUUGACGCCGACACCAUCAUGACAAAAAGCGAACUUUUACAAGCACGGUAGGUGAACUCCUUUUAUCCAGACUCACGAAAACUUAUCACCUUACUUUUGCAGUCAAUAAAAGCAUAGUAUUUUGAGAGCCAGUCCAUG